CCCGUCGUAACUCAAUGGUAGAGUGCUUGGCUGUAGACCGAGUUGUUCCCGGUUCAAAUCCGGGCGACGGGA
Molecule: transfer RNA, 72 nt
Filed under: archaeon
Lineage: Archaea
Also listed under: 2 other names
Description: tRNA-Tyr
Rfam family: tRNA
About the family: Transfer RNA (tRNA) molecules are approximately 80 nucleotides in length. Their secondary structure includes four short double-helical elements and three loops (D, anti-codon, and T loops).
Source: RNAcentral